Molecule: ribosomal RNA, 253 nt
Filed under: uncultured bacterium
Lineage: Bacteria
Description: partial 16S ribosomal RNA
Rfam family: Bacterial small subunit ribosomal RNA
Source: RNAcentral
UACGGAGGAUCCAAGCGUUAUCCGGAAUCAUUGGGUUUAAAGGGUCCGUAGGCGGUUUUGUAAGUCAGUGGUGAAAGCCCAUCGCUCAACGGUGGAACGGCCAUUGAUACUGCAAGACUUGAAUUACUAGGAAGUAACUAGAAUAUGUAGUGUAGCGGUGAAAUGCUUAGAUAUUACAUGGAAUACCAAUUGCGAAGGCAGGUUACUACUAGUGGAUUGACGCUGAUGGACGAAAGCGUGGGGAUCAAACAGG